Molecule: ribosomal RNA, 166 nt
Filed under: Croton roraimensis
Lineage: Eukaryota; Viridiplantae; Streptophyta; Magnoliopsida; Malpighiales; Euphorbiaceae
Also listed under: 1 other name
Description: 5.8S ribosomal RNA
Rfam family: 5.8S ribosomal RNA
About the family: 5.8S ribosomal RNA (5.8S rRNA) is a component of the large subunit of the eukaryotic ribosome. It is transcribed by RNA polymerase I as part of the 45S precursor that also contains 18S and 28S rRNA.
Source: RNAcentral
AUGACUCUCGGCAACGGAUAUCUCGGCUCUCGCAUCGAUGAAGAACGCAGCGAAAUGCGAUACUUGGUGUGAAUUGCAGAAUCCCGUGAACCAUCGAGUUUUUGAACGCAAGUUGCGCCCAAAGCCUUUCGGCCGAGGGCACGUCUGCCUGGGUGUCACGCAACAU